RNAcentral lists this transfer RNA (65 nucleotides) under Tupaia belangeri chinensis (Chinese tree shrew). RNAcentral describes it as "Tupaia chinensis (Chinese tree shrew) tRNA". It matches the Rfam family "tRNA". From Rfam's summary of the family: Transfer RNA (tRNA) molecules are approximately 80 nucleotides in length. Their secondary structure includes four short double-helical elements and three loops (D, anti-codon, and T loops). Further hydrogen bonds mediate the characteristic L-shaped molecular structure. tRNAs have two regions of fundamental functional importance: the anti-codon, which is responsible for specific mRNA codon recognition, and the 3' end, to which the tRNAs corresponding amino acid is attached (by aminoacyl-tRNA synthetases). tRNAs cope with the degeneracy of the genetic code in two manners: having more than one tRNA (with a specific anti-codon) for a particular amino acid; and 'wobble' base-pairing, i.e. permitting non-standard base-pairing at the 3rd anti-codon position. The record is from Rfam by way of RNAcentral. Lineage: Eukaryota; Metazoa; Chordata; Mammalia; Scandentia; Tupaiidae.
CAUUAUGAAGCUAGUAGCAUUAACCUUUUAAGUUAAAGAUAGUGGUUCAAUUACCUCCAUAAUGA